CAAGGUUAUCAAAAGCGACAGACCGGACAAAUAGUGUAAUAUGAAGCUUGAGAGGUUCGAAGCAAGGGAGAGGUCAUAUGAGGAGUAAGGAAUGUGGCACGCCCUGACAGAGCCAUGCCCACAGCACAGGGUAUUCUGCACAGGCCCUGCAGGCUGAUGUGCAGAGGGAAGUAGGAAAAGCCAAAUCUGAUGCCGUGGGAUCUGGUACAGUCGUGCUCAGUACAGUCUUCUGUUUUCUAGCUGCAGGGUGAUGCAGGUGGGCUUGAGGGCAGUGAAUGCUCUUAGUACUAGUCCUGGCUCCACACUGAAGCUGUCUUCAUGGACCUUUGGUUGGACCUCACAGUGUUCCCCCCUCUAAAAUGGAGCCAGAAUACUACUUCUGAUACCAACGUACUUCAUUCAGAGCAAGGGUUUGCUACCAUUUCAACUCGGGUGGCAUCCUCACCGUGUGUAAUACUGCUGGCCUUCUGGGCUGCAGGAGUGCACCGCUGGCUCACAUCCAGCCUCUCAUCUACCAGGAGUCCGAAGUCCUCCUCUGCAAGGCUGCUCUCAAGGCAUUCUUCUCCCAAGCUUCAUGAACUGCAGCUGUAUGAAACUGGACAGAUUACAUCGCAGGAAGGUUUUUCACCCAAGAGUCUGUGCUGAACUGUUUGCUACCUACAACCAGAAGGGGCAGCCUGAAGACAGUCUGGGGCCAGAGCAUAUGUGUAUUCUGCAAGCCAGAAGAAAGAAUUUAUAAGAAGCGACUCUUCCCCAGUUCCUCCAUAUAGAGUCCUAGCAGAUUGGAUUUUUUUUGCAAUGAAGUCACCUAUAUGGUUGUUGUCUCCAAUCUAUGCUAACAUACAUGGCUUACAGAUACUGAAGAUAGAGACAUGGGAACAGACUAAUACGAGUGCCUGGGGAUAGAAAAUACUACAGGUUUUACUCUUCCUAAUGCUAAUUCUCUGGCUCUACAUCUUGGCAGAUCCAGAAGAGCUUGUAUUUUAAGACUGUUCUGAGUCUAAAAUGAGGGUGUUGAAGAACAGCGUUUUAACAGAGUUUAAAGCUCAAUUUCUCUAAGCUUAAUCAAAGUUCUAAAGCAUUCAUAGAUUUGGCAUCCAGCCUCCUGUAGAAUAUUUAAACACCCCAUCCCAAUAACGUGGCUAUUUGCAGUGUAUUCAAAAAAUAUAUUUUUUCAUUCUGCUUCUCUCACAUGCCCAUUGAAGUGCUAUCUAAAAUGCUUUAGCACAUCUCUCUAUUUCAAGUAAUUCUGUUUAACUCCAUGUAAAUAUUCAUCAGAAAUUACAAUGGGCAUAACACUUCUCUUUCUCUAACAGUCAUUUUCCCAAAGCACCAUUUCAUAUAUUGAAAAUUGAAGCUACAUACCAUUAACCUAAAUGAUUUUCACAUCUUCCAACCAACAGCAUUACCAUCCCUGAAUGGAUAUUCUUUCGUACAUCUAACUCUUUCCCUUUAGUCAUGAAAAAUGCCAAGAUCUUCUCUCUUUUGCUUUGAAUCUGUGGAAUUCUCUACAAUCAAUCCUAUUGUAUGAACUUGUGAAGUUUCAGAUGUAUGAUGUAUAGAAAUAAGAUUAAAGGAGAGUGAAGGCAAGAAGAAGCCCCACAGGGUACCAACUUGGAAGGAUGGUUAAAUAGUGUGUGUCAUCAUCUCCCAUAACUCUAGCUAGCCAGACAAAUAGAAAUAGCCUGCAUGGGAAAGAUCCUAUUUUUUCUCUCUGCAAAAAAUGCAAGAACAUGCAAGUAUUGUUUUUGUCUAACUUCUGCCUCUCACAGAUUGUUCUACUUUAAAUUUGUUCAAGAUUUUGUUUGCUUGUUUGUUUUGUUUUGGGUUUUUUUUUUCCUCUCUUUUUUUCUCCAAUACACAUAUUUAACAGUUCCGAUUUUCCAGAUUGCAAUGCUUUGAUCAUCCAGGUCUCUUUAAUAAGGAGAGCUACUGCCAACAGAUGGAUCACAAAAGCUUAUAUGCCUUCUAAUGAAACCAAUCUUCCUAAUUUACCUUUCCCUGCAGAAUAUUUUUAUGCUUUCCUCGUUCUUCUAGAGUGUAACUCUCAAAAUCAUCUGUUUGACCAUGGUCCCAGGGCGGUAUUUGUGAUAUAAUAAAAUAUAAACAUAAAAAAGGUAGCUAUGCCUA
RNAcentral lists this long non-coding RNA (2130 nucleotides) under Numida meleagris (helmeted guineafowl). RNAcentral's name for it is "lncRNA (ENSNMEG00000018184.1)". Lineage: Eukaryota; Metazoa; Chordata; Aves; Galliformes; Numididae. The record is from RNAcentral.